UCAAGCGAAUAAGCGCACACGGUGGAUGCCUAGGCGGUCAGAGGCGAUGAAGGACGUGGUAGCCUGCGAAAAGUGUCGGGGAGCUGGCAACAAGCUUUGAUCCGGCAAUAUCCGAAUGGGGAAACCCACUGCUUCGGCAGUAUCUUGCAGUGAAUUCAUAGCUGCUUGAAGCGAACCCGGUGAACUGAAAUAUCUAAGUAACCGGAGGAAAAGAAAUCAACCGAGAUUCCCUGAGUAGUGACGAGCGAACGGGGAACAGCCCUUAAGCUGGAAUGGCUUUAGAAAAACAAUCUGGAAAGAUUGGCCAUAGAAGGUGAUAGCCCUGUAUUUAAAAGGGCCACUCCAGUGAAGACGAGUAGGGCGGGGCACGUGAAACCCUGUCUGAAUAUGGGGGGACCAUCCUCCAAGGCUAAAUACUCCUGACCGACCGAUAGUGAACCAGUACCGUGAGGGAAAGGCGAAAAGAACCCCGGAGAGGGGAGUGAAAUAGAUCCUGAAACCGUGUGCGUACAAGCAGUAGGAGCUCGCAAGAGUGACUGCGUACCUUUUGUAUAAUGGGUCAGCGACUUACUGUUCGUGGCAAGCUUAACCGUAUAGGGGAGGCGAAGGGAAACCGAGUCUGAUAAGGGCGCAUAGUCGCGGGCAGUAGACCCGAAACCGGGUGAUCUAGUCAUGGCCAGGGUGAAGGUGCCGUAACAGGUACUGGAGGCCCGAACCCACGUCUGUUGCAAAAGACGGGGAUGAGCUGUGAUUAGGAGUGAAAAGCUAAUCGAACCCGGAGAUAGCUGGUUCUCCUCGAAAGCUNCCCACGUCUGUUGCAAAAGACGGGGAUGAGCUGUGAUUAGGAGUGAAAAGCUAAUCGAACCCGGAGAUAGCUGGUUCUCCUCGAAAGCUAUUUAGGUAGCGCCUCGGACGAAUACUACUGGGGGUAGAGCACUGUUAUGGCUAGGGGGUCAUCGCGACUUACCAAACCAUUGCAAACUCCGAAUACCAGUACGUACUAUCCGGGAGACACACGGCGGGNCACUGUUAUGGCUAGGGGGUCAUCGCGACUUACCAAACCAUUGCAAACUCCGAAUACCAGUACGUACUAUCCGGGAGACACACGGCGGGUGCUAACGUCCGUCGUGAAAAGGGAAACAACCCAGACCCACAGCUAAGGUCCCAAAUUCACUGCUAAGUGGAAAACGAUGUGGAAAGGCAUAGACAGCCAGGAGGUUGGCUUAGAAGCAGCCACCCUUUAAAGAAAGCGUAAUAGCUCACUGGUCGAGUCGGUCUGCGCGGAAGAUUUAACGGGGCUAAGCAGUGAACCGAAGCUUGGGGUGCGUAAAACUUCGGUUUUAUGCGCGGUAGAGGAGCGUUCCGUAAGCCUGCGAAGGUGGAUUGAGAAGUCUGCUGGAGGUAUCGGAAGUGCGAAUGCUGACAUGAGUAACGAUAAUGCGGGUGAAAACCCCGCACGCCGAAAGCCCAAGGUUUCCUUGCGCAACGUUAAUCGACGCAGGGUUAGUCGGUCCCUAAGGCGAGGGCGAAAGCCGUAGUCGAUGGGAAGCAGGUUAAUAUUCCUGCACCUCGCGUGAGUGCGAUGGAGGGACGGAGAAGGUUAGGUGUACCGGGCGUUGGUUGUCCCGGGGAAAGGCGGUAGGUUUGGAUCUUUGGCAAAUCCGGGAUCCUUUAAGACCGAGCACCGAGACGAGCCUUUAUGGCGAAGUCACUGAUACCACGCUUCCAGGAAAAGCUCCUAAGCUUCAGCUCACGAAGACCGUACCGUAAACCGACACAGGUGGGUAGGAUGAGAAUUCUCAGGCGCUUGAGAGAACUCGGGUGAAGGAACUAGGCAACAUGGCACCGUAACUUCGGGAGAAGGUGCACCCUUUUUGGUGGCUCAUGCGAGCUAUAGCUGAAGAGGGUCGCAGAAACCAGGCCGCUGCGACUGUUUAUCAAAAACACAGCACUCUGCAAACACGAAAGUGGACGUAUAGGGUGUGACGCCUGCCCGGUGCUGGAAGGUUAAUUGAUGGGGUCAGCCGCAAGGCGAAGCUCUUGAUCGAAGCCCCAGUAAACGGCGGCCGUAACUAUAACGGUCCUAAGGUAGCGAAAUUCCUUGUCGGGUAAGUUCCGACCUGCACGAAUGGCGUAACGACAGCGGCGCUGUCUCCACCCGAGACUCAGUGAAAUUGAAAUCGCUGUGAAGAUGCAGCGUUCCCGUGGCAAGACGGAAAGACCCCGUGAACCUUUACUAUAGCUUUACACUGAACGUUGAGUUCGUCUGUGUAGGAUAGGUGGGAGGCUAUGAAACUGUGGCGCUAGCUGCAGUGGAGCCAACCUUGAAAUACCACCCUGUCGUGCUUGACGUUCUAACCUAGAUCCGUUAUCCGGAUCAGGGACCGUGUAUGGUGGGUAGUUUGACUGGGGCGGUCUCCUCCUAAAGAGUAACGGAGGAGCACGAAGGUACGCUCAGCGCGGUCGGACAUCGCGCACUGUGUGCAAAGGCAUAAGCGUGCUUGACUGCAAGAUCGACGGAUCAAGCAGGUACGAAAGUAGGUCUUAGUGAUCCGGUGGUUCUGUAUGGAAGGGCCAUCGCUCAACGGAUAAAAGGUACUCCGGGGAUAACAGGCUGAUACCGCCCAAGAGUUCAUAUCGACGGCGGUGUUUGGCACCUCGAUGUCGGCUCAUCACAUCCUGGGGCUGUAGUCGGUCCCAAGGGUAUGGCUGUUCGCCAUUUAAAGUGGUACGCGAGCUGGGUUCAGAACGUCGUGAGACAGUUCGGUCCCUAUCUGCCAUGGGCGUUGGAAGUUUGAGAGGGGCUGCUCCUAGUACGAGAGGACCGGAGUGGACGAACCUCUGGUGUUCCGGUUGUCACGCCAGUGGCAUUGCCGGGUAGCUAUGUUCGGAAGCGAUAACCGCUGAAAGCAUCUAAGCGGGAAGCGCGCCUCAAGAUGAGACUUCCCGGGGCACAAGCCCCCUAAAGGAACCAUAUAGACUAUGUGGUUGAUAGGUCAGGUGUGUAAGUACAGCAAUGUAUUGAGCUAACUGAUACUAAUGAUCCGUGCGGCUUGACCAU
RNAcentral lists this ribosomal RNA (3061 nucleotides) under Xanthomonas campestris. Its description in RNAcentral is "bacterial LSU rRNA". It matches the Rfam family "Bacterial large subunit ribosomal RNA". The record is from RNAcentral. Lineage: Bacteria; Pseudomonadati; Pseudomonadota; Gammaproteobacteria; Lysobacterales; Lysobacteraceae.